RNAcentral lists this ribosomal RNA (468 nucleotides) under uncultured bacterium. Its description in RNAcentral is "partial 16S ribosomal RNA". It matches the Rfam family "Bacterial small subunit ribosomal RNA", at positions 28 to 507 of the family's 1533-position model. The record is from RNAcentral.
GACGAACGCUGGCGGCGUGCUUAACACAUGCAAGUCGAACGGAAAGACCCUGCUUUUGUGGGGUGCUCGAGUGGCGAACGGGUGAGUAACACGUGAGUAACCUGCCCUUGACUUUGGGAUAACUUCAGGAAACUGGGGCUAAUACCGGAUAGGAGCUCCUGCUGCAUGGUGGGGGUUGGAAAGUUUCGGCGGUUGGGGAUGGACUCGCGGCUUAUCAGCUUGUUGGUGGGGUAGUGGCUUACCAAGGCUUUGACGGGUAGCCGGCCUGAGAGGGUGACCGGCCACAUUGGGACUGAGAUACGGCCCAGACUCCUACGGGAGGCAGCAGUGGGGAAUAUUGCACAAUGGGCGGAAGCCUGAUGCAGCAACGCCGCGUGCGGGAUGGCGGCCUUCGGGUUGUAAACCGCUUUCGCCUGUGACGAAGCGUGAGUGACGGUAAUGGGUAAAGAAGCACCGGCUAACUACGUG